This 489-nucleotide ribosomal RNA is filed under the name uncultured bacterium. RNAcentral describes it as "partial 16S ribosomal RNA". It matches the Rfam family "Bacterial small subunit ribosomal RNA", at positions 29 to 506 of the family's 1533-position model. The record is from RNAcentral.
AUUGAACGCUGGCGGCAGGCCUAACACAUGCAAGUCGAACGGUAACAGGAAGCAGCUUGCUGCUUUGCUGACGAGUGGCGGACGGGUGAGUAAUGUCUGGGAAACUGCCCGAUGGAGGGGGAUAACUACUGGAAACGGUAGCUAAUACCGCAUAACGUCGCAAGACCAAAGAGGGGGACCUUAGGGCCUCUUGCCAUCGGAUGUGCCCAGAUGGGAUUAGCUAGUAGGUGGGGUAACGGCUCACCUAGGCGACGAUCCCUAGCUGGUCUGAGAGGAUGACCAGCCACCCUGGAACUAGGCACCGGCCCAGCCCCCGAGGGGGGGCAGAGGGGGGGAAUUUGGCCAAAUGGGGGCAAGCCUGCGGCAGCCAUGCCGGGUGUAUGAAGAAGGCCUUCGGGUUGUAAAGUACUUUCAGGGGGGAGGAAGGGGUUAAAGUUAAAACCUUUGCUCAUUGCCGUUACCCGCAGAAGAAGCACCGGCUAACCCCGG